GAGCUUAUCAUGGCUAACCAUGCAGUCGAGCGGAGAGAGGUAGCUUGCUACUGAUCUUAGCGGCGGACGGGUGAGUAAUGCUUAGGAAUCUGCCUAUUAGUGGGGGACAACAUUUCGAAAGGAAUGCUAAUACCGCAUACGUCCUACGGGAGAAAGCAGGGGAUCUUCGGACCUUGCGCUAAUAGAUGAGCCUAAGUCGGAUUAGCUAGUUGGUGGGGUAAAGGCCUACCAAGGCGACGAUCUGUAGCGGGUCUGAGAGGAUGAUCCGCCACACUGGGACUGAGACACGGCCCAGACUCCUACGGGAGGCAGCAGUGGGGAAUAUUGGACAAUGGGCGCAAGCCUGAUCCAGCCAUGCCGCGUGUGUGAAGAAGGCCUUAUGGUUGUAAAGCACUUUAAGCGAGGAGGAGGCUACUUUAGAUAAUACCUAGAGAUAGUGGACGUUACUCGCAGAAUAAGCACCGGCUAACUCUGUGCCAGCAGCCGCGGUAAUACAGAGGGUGCAAGCGUUAAUCGGAUUUACUGGGCGUAAAGCGCGCGUAGGCGGCUAAUUAAGUCAAAUGUGAAAUCCCCGAGCUUAACUUGGGAAUUGCAUUCGAUACUGGUUAGCUAGAGUGUGGGAGAGGAUGGUAGAAUUCCAGUGUAGCGGUGAAAUGCGUAGAGAUCUGGAGGAAUACCGAUGGCGAAGCAGCCAUCUGGGCCUAACACUGACGCUGAGUGCGAAAGCAUGGGGAGCAAACAGGAUUAGAUACCCUGGUAGUCCAUGCCGUAAACGAUGUCUACUAGCCGUUGGGGCCUUUGAGGCUUUAGUGGCGCAGCUAACGCGAUAAGUAGACCGCCUGGGGAGUACGUCGCCAGACUAAACUCAAUGAAUUGAAGGGGCCGCACAGCGGUGGAGCAUGUGUUUAAUUCGAUGCACGCGAGAAAUACUGAAUGACAUAGUAGAACUU
Molecule: ribosomal RNA, 950 nt
Filed under: Acinetobacter calcoaceticus
Lineage: Bacteria; Pseudomonadati; Pseudomonadota; Gammaproteobacteria; Moraxellales; Moraxellaceae
Description: bacterial SSU rRNA
Rfam family: Bacterial small subunit ribosomal RNA
Source: RNAcentral